GCGGGCGUAACACAAUGGCAGUGUUUCAGAUUUCCAAUCUGACUAUGUGGGUUCGAUUCCCAUCGCCCGCU
Molecule: transfer RNA, 71 nt
Filed under: Candidatus Wildermuthbacteria bacterium
Lineage: Bacteria; Candidatus Wildermuthiibacteriota
Description: tRNA-Gly
Rfam family: tRNA
About the family: Transfer RNA (tRNA) molecules are approximately 80 nucleotides in length.
Source: RNAcentral